Molecule: long non-coding RNA, 4486 nt
Filed under: Sus scrofa (pig)
Lineage: Eukaryota; Metazoa; Chordata; Mammalia; Artiodactyla; Suidae
Description: lncRNA (ENSSSCG00000061677.1, ENSSSCG00110001477.1, ENSSSCG00130026196.1)
Source: RNAcentral
AUGACCUACCAUCCCUUACGUGGUGCUACUCACAACUUCCCCAUGCUCAGGACUCAUGCCCUUGCUGCCUGCUUCCACGCCUCGUCUCUCGCGAUAGGACUUCCCUCUGUUUCUUAGUUUACUUCUUACUGGCUUCUGUUCACUGCUUUCCCUCAGCGGAUGCCCUUCAUUAUCCAUGCUUCCUUUGGGAGUGGCUGCAGUCUGACCUCCUCAGGAGACAAGAGUUCUCUGGGUGCUGAGGUCACCAUAAGGUAUAGAGCUCCCUUGCUGGUCAGCAGUCUUGAGCCAUGCUGCUUCUCAGACUGCCUGCAGAUAGCUUCCUUGGGGGCAGCGCUGAUCCUCUAUCUCGAUAGCUGUGGGCACAUUUAUGUGGACAGAAAGCAUCAAGAUUUAUGGGUCCAGCAGGCUCCCCAAGCACUGCACUUGAACCAGCCUUUGUCUGAGUGAGGAAGAAGUGAGGAUGAGACGGGGAGGAGAUGAGGAAAGAAGCUAAAAGGCUAAAUUUACAAAUGAAGGAUCCCCUGGGGUAUCAGCCAGGCAAAUGUUUGCAGGCUGAUUAGAGCACCCUGGAGAAUAUGGUGAUAGACUCUUUUUCUUGCCCUGAGUUGUCUAGGGAAGCCAGCCACAUGGUACCUUGAAACAAUCCCAGACUAAUGGCAGGGAGUGUUCCAGUAAGGAGGAGCUGAUGAGGGAUGCAUCAGAGACCCUGAGACCUUGCAGAGGCUAAGAUGGGCUGGCACCUUCCCCUACCUCCCCACCCCCCCACAGGAGUGCAGCAUAGAAGAACUUCAUGGCAGGAGCUUUCGUCCUCCCCUGCUGCUAGUCUCCAACCAAAAGAGUGGCUCUGCCUUUGGGGUUGAGUUAUGAUCGGUGGUCAAACCUGGGUGAUGUUCAGUUAGGAAAGAACCCAGAAAGCAAUUGCUCUAGCUUCAGAGAGCAUAUGAUUCCAUCAAACCCAAAAUAAAAUGUGUUAGAUCUUUGCAAGAUACUUUUAAAUGCCGAACUAUAGAUCAUCUUUGAGGGUUUCCUAUGACCAGAUACUGAGCUAAGUGUGUUAUGUAUAUAAAUCUUAUUUAAUCUUUGCAAUAAACCUUAAAAAUAGAAGAUACUAUCUCCAUUUUACAGAUAAAGAAAUUAAGGCUUAGAAAGCUUAUAGGACAUGCCCAAAGGCACACAAAUUCAAGACUCCACCCUAAGGCUGUUUAAGCUCCAAAUCUCAGCCCUUACCACCACAUUCUAGUUCAUCUUUCCAUACUCAUUUAAAAAAAAUCAUGGAGUUCCUGUUGUGGGGCAGUGGAAACAAAUCUGACUAGUAUCCAUGAGGAUGCGGGUUCGAUCCCUGGCCUCGAUUCGUGAGUUAAGGAUCUGGCAUUGCCGUGAGCUGUGGCGUAGGUCAUAGGCACCUCGGAUCCCAAGUUGCUGUGGCUGUGGCGUAGGCUGGCAGCUGCAACUCUGAUUCAACCCCUAGCCUGGGAACUUCCAUAUGCCACAGAUGCGGCCCUAAAAAGAAAAUAAAUAAAUAAAUGAAGGUGAGAGUUACUAAAUCCAUUUUUAAAGAGGAGGGAUUUUAGCAAAAUUAAGAGAUCAUGAGACUUACUCCAAGUCAUAUCACUUAGCAGAAAAGGGACCAGGACUGGAACUCAGACCCAGAACUUCUGACACAAAAGGAGAUGGACAGGGUAGAGUAGAAAGAUUGUGUCUUUGAAAUCAGACAGAUUUGCAUUCAAGUACCUGCUGCAGCGUGUAUUUACCGUGUGAUUUAGGCGAAUUUCUUAACAUCACCGAGCUAUCAAAUGGGGUUUUUAUACCUACACAAACUCUCUGUUCUUUGCACCAAUCUAGAUAAAAUGGCACGAGCUUAAAUGCACAGAUAUGUACAUAAAGGGAAAAGGUCCAACUUUACCAAUGAAUGGGGUCCCAAAGACUCCUUUAGCAGGUAUUAUUGAGAACUCUGAGUUACUUUUCUGAUACAAGUAAUUUUAGAGUGUGUGUUGUGGGUCGACUUGUGUCUCUCAACAUAGAUAGAUUAAAAUUCUAACCUCUUGAACCUGUGGAUGUGACUUUGUGUGGAAAUAGUCUUCGAAGAUGUAAUCAAUUGAGGUCGUACUGGAUUUAGGUGGACCUUGAUCCAAUGACUGAUGUUCUUAUAAGAUGAGGGGAAUUUGGAUGUAGACACAUAGGGAAGUAAACGUGAUGACAGAUACAGACAUAGAAACCACGCAUCUAUAAUCCAAGGAAUGUCAAUGAUUGCCAGCAACCAUGAGAAAUGAGGAGAGAAGCGUAGACCAGGUUCUCCCUCAGAGUCUCCAGAUGAAACCACCCCUGCCAACACCUUGAUUCCAGAUUUGUUGUCUCCCAAACUCUGAGGAAAUAAACUUAUGUUAUUUUAAGCUGCCUUGUGUAUGUGGUACUUUUGAUACAGAAAUCCUAGGAAACUAACAUACUAUGUUAGCGGAGUGUCAGUAUUUGCUGCCUAAAAAAUGAAACUAGCACAAAGGUUAGGGGGUGGAGACAGUGGCUAUUAUAUGGAUCAGCAAUUUGCGCUGGGCUCCACGGAGUCGUUCUUCUGGUCCUGGCUAGACUCAUUCAUGCAUCUGCAGUAGCUGCUAAGUCAGCCAGGAAGUAGUUGAUCUCUGUGGAGGCCACCACUGGAAUAGCUGGUCUCUGCAUCACUUGAAUCUUUUAUCCUCCAGAAGGCUUGCUUGAAUACUUCCUUUUAAUAUAAACUUUAUUGGAGUAUAGAUGACUUACAAUGUUGUGUUUCAGGUAUACACAAAGCGAAUAAGCCAUGCAUAUACCUAUAUAUUCAUUCUUUUUCAGAUUCUUUACUCAUAUAGGCUAUCACCAAGUAUUGAAUAAUUUCCUUGAGCUAUAGAGUAGGUCCUUGUUAUUGAUCAAUUUUUUAUAUAAUAGUGCAUAUAUGCCAACUCCAACCUCCCUACAACAUUUCUCCUUUGGUAACCUUUAGUUUGGUUUUAAAAUCUUUGAGUCUGUUUCUGUUUGGUGAAUAAGUUCAUUUGUAUCGUUUUAUUAGAUUCCAUAUACUAUAUCUCAUGUGGUAUUUGUUAUUUCUCUGUCUGACUUACUUCACUUUAUAUGAUAACCUCUACGUCCAUCCAUAUUGCUAUAAAUGGCACUAUUUCAUUAUUUUGUGGCCAAGCAAUAUUCCAUUGUAUAUAUGUACCACAUCUUUAUCCAAUCCUCUGUUGAUGCUCCCAUGUCUUGGCUAUUGGAUAUAGUGCUUCUAUGAACAUAAGAGUGCAUGUACCUUUUUAAAUUAGUCAUAUAUGUCCAGGAGUGAGAUUACUGGAUCACAUGGUAGUUACAUAUUUUUAGUUUUUUAAGGAGCUUCAUAUUGUUCUCCAUAGUGGUUGCACCAAUUUACAGUCCUACCAAUAGUGGAGGAGGGUUCCUUUUUCUCUGCACCUUCUCCAGCAUUUAUUGUUUGUAGACUUUUUGAUGAUAGCCAUUCUGGCUCGUGUGAGGUGAUACCUCAAUGUAGUUUUGAUUUGCAUUUCUCUAAUAAUUAGUGAUUUUGAGCAUCUUUUCAUAUGUUAUUCAGCCAUCUGUAUGUUUCUUUGGAGAAAUGUCUAUUUGGAUUUCUGACCAUUUUUUAUUGUUUUUUAAAUAUAAAGCUAUAUGAGAUACUUGUGUAUUUUGGAGACCAAUCCCUUCUCAGUCACUUCGUUUGCAAAGAUUUUCUCCCAUUCUGUGGGUUGUCUUUUCAUUUUCUUAAUGGUUUCCUUCACUAUGCAAAACCUUUUAAGUUUAAUUAGGUCCCAUUUGCUUAUUUUUGUUGUUAUUUUCAUUACUCUGCGAGGUGGAUCCAAAAACAUAUUGCUACAAUUUAUGUCAAAGAAUGUUCUGCCUGUAUUUUCCUCUAACGGUUUUAUAGUCUGUGGCCUUACUAAAGUUUAGGUCUUUAAUCUAUUUUGAGCUUAUUUUUGUGCAUAGUGUAAAAGAAUGUUCUGAUUUAAUUCUUUUACAUGUAGCUGUCCAGUUUUCCUAGCACUACUUAUUGAAGAGACUGUUUUUUCUCCAUUGUAUAUUCUUGCCUCUUUUGUCAUAGAUAAAUUGACCAUAGGUGUAUGGGUUUAUUUCUGGGCUUUCUAUGUUGUUCAGAAACUAAUCUCUGUUUCUGUUUUUAUGUCAGUGCUAUACUGUUUUGAUGACUGUAGCUUUGUAGUAUAGUCGGAAGUUGGGGAAGUGAUUCUUCCAGCUUUGUUAUUCUUUCUCAAGAUUGCUUUGGGAGUUCCCAUCAUGGCUCAGUAGAAAUGAAUCUGAGUAGCAUCCAUGAGGACACAGUUUUGAUCCCUGUCCUCGCUCAGUGGGUUAACAAUCUGGCAUUGCCAUUAGCUGUGGUGUAGAUGGCAGGCUUGGCUCGGAUCUGGCGUUCCUGUGGUUGUGGUGUAAGCCAGCAGCUACAGCUCCGAUUUGACCCCUAGCCUGGGAACCUCCACAUGCAGUGGGUGCAGCCCUAAAAAAG